Eucalyptus grandis is the source of this 611-nucleotide long non-coding RNA. RefSeq lists it as uncharacterized. Lineage: Eukaryota; Viridiplantae; Streptophyta; Magnoliopsida; Myrtales; Myrtaceae. The record is from RefSeq and is a predicted model, not a curated record. The transcript is spliced from 2 exons.
AAGCUUUUAUAUUUGUAAUUUCCCCUGUCAUAUAAUACAAACUGACUCCGAGAAGAAUAUUUUUAAUGCUGGGGGUGGUUUACAAGUUCUCUGAACGCUCUCAUGGAUUUGGUUUUGUGAUUUCUGAUGAGAAGCAAGCAAUGGGUGAGGCUAUUGAGGCUAUCAAUGGGAUGGACUUGGAUGGGAGAAAUCAUUGAGGAAAAAGCUCAGCCUCAAGGUUCACGUUGAGACCAAGACGGUGAUCGCAGUUCUGAUCGUGGCCCUAAUAGGGAUAGUGGCACUCAAGGAGGAUCAGGAAAUGACUGCUGAAUCAGGACCAUUCUGGUCCCUAUGAACAUUGUGGUACAGGAAACUUCCGUACGGGCUAGAAAGAAUAUUCCUGAUAGUGCAAUUGGAGGUACUGCUGUUACUUGCUGGAGCUAAAGUCCCUUCUGUUGCAUCUCUUUUUUAUUGUUCUCUGGGUGGACAAAUCUGCUUGAUCAGUCUUUUAAUGUGCAAACUUUGGCUAAAAGAUUCAACUGUUCAAUGUCCGUGAAUGCUCGUUUUGAUACUUUGGUCUGACGACAUUGCUUGCUUGACUUAAACAAUCAAAUUUAGCCUUAAUCUGUCAA